UGAGAGGAUUGAUGAUGUCAGUUGGACCGGCUUAUUUUUAAUCCACCUUGAUCUAACUUGGUGAAGUCAGUGGAAGGAUUGAGAUUAGCUGAUCUAUGUAUUUAAUUCUAUUAAAUUGUGUUAACUAAAUUCUCUAAAUUAUUAGCUAGUCCAUGUAUUUAAUCUAAUUGGUUAAACCCUAAAGUCCCAAAUGAAGGGAACUCUCUCCCUUGCGCCCCCC
Molecule: long non-coding RNA, 220 nt
Filed under: Elaeis guineensis (African oil palm)
Lineage: Eukaryota; Viridiplantae; Streptophyta; Magnoliopsida; Arecales; Arecaceae
Description: long non-coding RNA (EGUI_LNC036888)
Source: RNAcentral